RNAcentral lists this ribosomal RNA (497 nucleotides) under uncultured Glomeromycotina. RNAcentral describes it as "partial small subunit ribosomal RNA". It matches the Rfam family "Eukaryotic small subunit ribosomal RNA", at positions 591 to 1092 of the family's 1831-position model. The record is from RNAcentral. Lineage: Eukaryota; Fungi; Glomeromycota.
CCAAUAGCGUAUAUUAAGGUUGUUGCAGUUAAAAAGCUCGUAGUUGAAUUUCGGGACCAAUAUGUCGGUCGUGCUUCGGUACGUACUUGCAUUAUUGGUUUCUCCCUUCUGAAGAACCAUGAUGUCAUUAAUUUGGUGUCUUGGGGAAUCAGGACUGUUACUUUGAAAAAAUUAGAGUGUUUAAAGCAGGCUCACGCUUGAAUACAUUAGCAUGGAAUAAUGAAAUAGGACGUUUGAUUCUAUUUUGUUGGUUUCUAGGAUCGACGUAAUGAUUAAUAGGGAUAGUUGGGGGCAUUAGUAUUCAAUUGUCAGAGGUGAAAUUCUUGGAUUUAUUGAAGACUAACUACUGCGAAAGCAUUUGCCAAGGAUGUUUUCAUUAAUCAAGAACGAAAGUUAGGGGAUCGAAGACGAUCAGAUACCGUCGUAGUCUUAACCAUAAACUAUGCCGACCAGGGAUCGGAUGAUGUUAUUUUUGAUGACUCAUUCGGCGCCUUACG